CGAAUCGCAUGGCCUUGCGCCGGCGAUGGUUCAUUCAAAUUUCUGCCCUAUCAACUUUCGAUGGUAGGAUAGUGGCCUACCAUGGUGGCAACGGGUAACGGGGAAUUAGGGUUCGAUUCCGGAGAGGGAGCCUGAGAAACGGCUACCACAUCCAAGGAAGGCAGCAGGCGCGCAAAUUACCCAAUCCCGAUACGGGGAGGUAGUGACAAUAAAUACUGAUACGGGGCUCUUUUGGGUCUCGUAAUUGGAAUGAGAACAAUUUAAAUCCCUUAACGAGGAACAAUUGGAGGGCAAGUCUGGUGCCAGCAGCCGCGGUAAUUCCAGCUCCAAUAGCGUAUAUUAAAGUUGUUGCAGUUAAAAAGCUCGUAGUUGAACCUUGGGUCUGGCUGGCCGGUCCGCCUCACCGCGAGUACUGGUCCGGCUGGACCUUUCCUUCUGGGGAACCUCAUGGCCUUCACUGGCUGUGGGGGGAACCAGGACUUUUACUGUGAAAAAAUUAGAGUGUUCAAAGCAGGCCUUUGCUCGAAUACAUUAGCAUGGAAUAAUAGAAUAGGACGUGUGGUUCUAUUUUGUUGGUUUCUAGGACCGCCGUAAUGAUUAAUAGGGAUAGUCGGGGGCGUCAGUAUUCAGCUGUCAGAGGUGAAAUUCUUGGAUUUACUG
This 660-nucleotide ribosomal RNA is filed under the name Penicillium sp. BMA 321. Its description in RNAcentral is "SSU rRNA". It matches the Rfam family "Eukaryotic small subunit ribosomal RNA", at positions 260 to 931 of the family's 1831-position model. Lineage: Eukaryota; Fungi; Ascomycota; Eurotiomycetes; Eurotiales; Aspergillaceae. The record is from RNAcentral.